Molecule: ribosomal RNA, 301 nt
Filed under: uncultured bacterium
Lineage: Bacteria
Description: partial 16S ribosomal RNA
Rfam family: Bacterial small subunit ribosomal RNA
Source: RNAcentral
CAGUCGCCGCGGGAAUACGGAGGGUGCAAGCGUUAUCCGGAUUUAUUGGGUUUAAAGGGUCCGUAGGCGGAUCUGUAAGUCAGUGGUGAAAUCUCACAGCUUAACUGUGAAACUGCCAUUGAUACUGCAGGUCUUGAGUAAAUUUGAAGUGGCUGGAAUAAGUAGUGUAGCGGUGAAAUGCAUAGAUAUUACUUAGAACACCAAUUGAGAAGGCAGGUCACUAAGAUUUAACUGACGCUGAUGGACGAAAGCGUGGGGAGCGAACAGGAUUAGAUACCCCCGUAGUCCCUGUAUCUUAUAA